This 497-nucleotide ribosomal RNA is filed under the name uncultured bacterium. RNAcentral describes it as "partial 16S ribosomal RNA". It matches the Rfam family "Bacterial small subunit ribosomal RNA", at positions 28 to 507 of the family's 1533-position model. The record is from RNAcentral.
GACGAACGCUGGCGGCGUGCCUAAUACAUGCAAGUUGAGCGAUGAAGCUUGGUGCUUGCCCCAAUUUGAAGAGCAGCGAACGGGUGAGUAACGCGUGGGGAAUCUGCCUUUGAGCGGGGGACAACAUUUGGAAACGAAUGCUAAUACCGCAUAACAACUUUAAACAUAAGUUUUAAGUUUGAAAGAUGCAAUUGCAUCACUCAAAGAUGAUCCCGCGUUGUAUUAGCUAGUUGGUGAGGUAAAGGCUCACCAAGGCGAUGAUACAUAGCCGACCUGAGAGGGGGAUCGGCCACAUUGGGACUGAGACACGGCCCAAACUCCUACGGGAGGCAGCAGUAGGGAAUCUUCGGCAAUGGACGAAAGUCUGACCGAGCAACGCCGCGUGAGUGAAGAAGGUUUUCGGAUCGUAAAACUCUGUUGGUAGAGAAGAACGUUGGUGAGAGUGGAAAGCUCAUCAAGUGACGGUAACUACCCAGAAAGGGACGGCUAACUACGUG